GUGGGGAAUAUUGCACAAUGGGCGCAAGCCUGAUGCAGCAACGCCGCGUGAGGGAUGACGGCCUUCGGGUUGUAAACCUCUUUUAGUAGGGAAGAAGCGAAAGUGACGGUACCUGCAGAAAAAGCACCGGCUAACUACGUGCCAGCAGCCGCGGUAAUACGUAGGGUGCAAGCGUUGUCCGGAAUUAUUGGGCGUAAAGAGCUCGUAGGCGGCUUGUCGCGUCGGCUGUGAAAACCCGGGGCUCAACCUCGGGCCUGCAGUGGGUACGGGCAGGCUAGAGUGCGGUAGGGGAGAUUGGAAUUCCUGGUGUAGCGGUGGAAUGCGCAGAUAUCAGGAGGAACACCGAUGGCGAAGGCAGAUCUCUGGGCCGUAACUGACGCUGAGGAGCGAAAGCAUGGGGAGCGAACAGGAUUAGAUACCCUAGUAGUCC
RNAcentral lists this ribosomal RNA (430 nucleotides) under uncultured bacterium. Its description in RNAcentral is "partial 16S ribosomal RNA". It matches the Rfam family "Bacterial small subunit ribosomal RNA", at positions 354 to 796 of the family's 1533-position model. The record is from RNAcentral.